Molecule: long non-coding RNA, 814 nt
Organism: Daucus carota subsp. sativus
Lineage: Eukaryota; Viridiplantae; Streptophyta; Magnoliopsida; Apiales; Apiaceae
Exons: 2
Source: RefSeq, a predicted model, not a curated record
AUACUAGAUACAGCAGCGUGCAAAUCGUAUAUCUUCAUAAUCGUAUCAUCGUCUACUACGUCAUUCAAGUGACAGUUAUUACACCAUUGUUUCCCCUUAAAAUCACUCCCCUAAAAUCAAAACCAACAUCCUAAUCAGAUAAACACGAACGAUCGCUCGAGGAACACAGUGGAACCAUUGUGAUAAGUGUCCACCACUAUAAUAUUAAUGUGAAACCGAAGGAUGAGUUCAGCGCUGUGCCUUUGUCAAUUGUUAUAAAGUCGCGGAAUGAUGAAACCAGUGGUGGGUCUGGGAGACGAUGAGUUUUAGACUAGAGCGUUCAGAUUCUCAAAGAGAUAACCAUGUUAGUGCAGGAAGAGCUAGGAGACAAAGAAGCGAGAUUUAGAUAGAGAGCGUGCAGUAGCCGAGGCAAAGUGUGGGCUAAGAAUCUGAGAGAGAAAAAGAGAGGUGGCGCAAUGGAUAAUUUUGAUGCAACAACCGAUUAAAUCUGCUGGAGCAUGGUUGUGUUGCAAUGUGAUACAUUUGAGGAUCAUCACGGAAAAAGGAGAAUAUCAUUUUCAAAAUUAUCCAAGGACUAGAUUAUGUGUCUACCUUUAGCUGUUGUUGUCAUGUAUCAUUCGUGUAGACUCUAUAGUUCAAGCUUUCGGUAUUUCAUGAUAAAGGCACAAGACAUAGCUAAAGGUGACACUAGAGGAAGUUAUCUUGUAAUUUAUGCUCGUUUUAGUAGUUACUUCAUUGUAGAAUGUUUCAUGCACUAUGUUAAUCGAUGUGUAAUUAUGGUCUUGGUAUAGUUAAUGUUAUGCGAUGAAAAAGA